AGAGUUUGAUCAUGGCUCAGAACGAACGCUGGCGGCAUGCCUAAUACAUGCAAGUCGAACGCGUGUAGCAAUACACGCGUGGCGCACGGGUGAGUAACGCGUGGGAACCUGCCCUGGAGUGGGGGAUAACCCGGCGAAAGCCGGGCUAAUACCGCAUACGCCCUACGGGGGAAAGAUUUAUCGCUCCAGGAGGGGCCCGCGUCGGAUUAGCUAGUUGGUGGGGUAACGGCCUACCAAGGCGAUGAUCCGUAGCUGGUCUGAGAGGAUGAUCAGCCACACUGGGACUGAGACACGGCCCAGACUCCUACGGGAGGCAGCAGUAGGGAAUAUUGGACAAUGGGGGCAACCCUGAUCCAGCAAUGCCGCGUGAGUGAUGAAGGCCUUCGGGUUGUAAAGCUCUUUCGGCGGGGACGAUGAUGACGGUACCCGCAGAAGAAGCCCCGGCUAACUUCGUGCCAGCAGCCGCGGUAAUACGAAGGGGGCGAGCGUUGUUCGGAAUUACUGGGCGUAAAGGGCGCGCAGGCGGCUCUUGAAGUCAGGUGUGAAAGCCCCGGGCUCAACCUGGGAGGUGCACUUGAUACUCGAGGGCUGGAGUACGGGAGAGGAGAGUGGAAUUCCCAGUGUAGAGGUGAAAUUCGUAGAUAUUGGGAAGAACACCGGUGGCGAAGGCGGCUCUCUGGACCGUAACUGACGCUGAGGCGCGAAAGCGUGGGGAGCAAACAGGAUUAGAUACCCCAGUAGUCC
RNAcentral lists this ribosomal RNA (744 nucleotides) under uncultured bacterium. Its description in RNAcentral is "bacterial SSU rRNA". It matches the Rfam family "Bacterial small subunit ribosomal RNA", at positions 8 to 796 of the family's 1533-position model. The record is from RNAcentral.